UUGGAUUCCCAGGAGCAGACAAGGAACUCU
Molecule: non-coding RNA, 30 nt
Filed under: Rattus norvegicus (Norway rat)
Lineage: Eukaryota; Metazoa; Chordata; Mammalia; Rodentia; Muridae
Source: RNAcentral